Molecule: long non-coding RNA, 151 nt
Organism: Bufo bufo (common toad)
Lineage: Eukaryota; Metazoa; Chordata; Amphibia; Anura; Bufonidae
Exons: 3
Source: RefSeq, a predicted model, not a curated record
UCUUGUCCACAAUUGCGGACAAGAAUAGGGUGCCUCUAUCUUUUCUGUGAGGCCGCGGAACAGAACUACGCAUGCGGACAGCACACGGUGUGCUGUCCACAUCUUUUGCGGUCCCAUUGAAAUGAAUAUGGUCAGCAGGUUAGGGAUGCAG